This 1246-nucleotide small RNA is filed under the name Arabidopsis thaliana (thale cress). RNAcentral describes it as "ncRNA (AT1G68872)". Lineage: Eukaryota; Viridiplantae; Streptophyta; Magnoliopsida; Brassicales; Brassicaceae. The record is from RNAcentral.
CUACGCCGUGUCCCGCCGCGGAAACCCGACGGAGAUGAAUACCAAAUUCAGAUUCAGUCGAUGAUCGAGUAAGUCAUUGCACCACCGGCGUAACAUUAUCUGGAGUCUGCGCAUUGGUUCAGCUAGCUUGAGCUCUGGAUUCCAAACUGGAACAAGAGCUUUAACUCCAGAGUAUGAACAAGUCCAUUGGUCUUCUACAAGAGAGAGUUUGAACUUUGAAUAAUGAGGAGAAACAACAAGGGGUUAAAUUCUGCUGCCACUUUCUUCCUCUUUUAGGUUUCAGGAUUGUUUGUUUCGUUAAUUGAUUGUACCAGUUUCUCGAAGAUGCAGAUUUUUUGAUGAAAGGUUUAAGGUUAGUGUUGCUUUUUAAUGGUAUUGUUUUCACACAAUAUGAGAGAUUUACUAGUGAUCGUUGUUUUUUUUGUUUUCAAGAAAGCAUUGCUACUCGUCUUAAUCUUUCCCUUGGAUUUCGUUUUCGAUUAUCAAUUGAGCAUGUGCAGCUAAUAGUUUCACAGAACUGUUUGUUUUUUUGCCUUAACUCGUUUGUUUCUUCGUCUUUACUCGUUUGUUUCUUCGGUCUUCCUGGAAUUUGAAAUUGGUAGACAAGGUCCAAUGUGUUGUGCAUUUACUGAGUCACAUUCUCUCACAUUUUGUGGGUCAUAGAAUUAGAUUGGACGACCCUUAUUUCAUUAUCACCUACCUGUUUAUUGCUUCUGCACGUGCAUGGUGGAUUUGAGAUUACAAUGUGGAAAGUGACUUGAGAAUCACAUCUACGUGAGUGCGGUCCUCUCCUAGCAAGCUGCCAGCUAAAACUCUUUGUUGUUUUCUGCUCCCAAUUCAUUAUGCCUCAAUAAUCUAAAACUUUUCGGUCAUUUUCGAACACUUAACUGUAUUAUUGAUACAAAUUACCAGCUUUGACUUUCUAAGACUCUUCGUUUGUUUGAUAGAUACAUUUCUAUAUACUGUUGUGAAAGAAGCUACAUGGUUCUCACUGCGUUGAAAGGUGGAGAAGAAUAUUACAAACAGAAAAAAGAAUCAUGUGAAGGUAUUGGUAUUGAAAGCAGCAUGAGUCUUUGUUAAUAGGCUAAGCUAUGGUGUGUUAGCUACUUUGGGGCCACACCUAUGGAACAAUCUGCUGCAUGAUUCUUGGUGCUCCUUGGAGGCUGAUGAGUGCUAGGCCAUGAGGAUGCAUCAGAAGUCAUUGAGUCAUCGCUUUCAUUGUUACUACUAUCAUCAUCAUCGUCAU